UGAGUAAUGCGUGACCAACCUGCCCCAUGCUCCAGAAUAGCUCUUGGAAACGGGUGGUAAUGCUGGAUGCUCCAACUUGACGCAUGUCUUGUUGGGAAAGUGUUUAGUGGCAUGGGAUGGGGUCGCGUCCUAUCAGCUUGUAGGCGGGGUAAUGGCCCACCUAGGCUUCGACGGGUAGCCGGCCUGAGAGGGCGGACGGCCACAUUGGGACUGAGAUACGGCCCAGACUCCUACGGGAGGCAGCAGUC
RNAcentral lists this ribosomal RNA (248 nucleotides) under uncultured Gardnerella sp. RNAcentral's name for it is "partial 16S ribosomal RNA". It matches the Rfam family "Bacterial small subunit ribosomal RNA", at positions 107 to 355 of the family's 1533-position model. The record is from RNAcentral. Lineage: Bacteria; Bacillati; Actinomycetota; Actinomycetes; Bifidobacteriales; Bifidobacteriaceae.